GAUGAACGCUGGCGGCGUGCCUAAUACAUGCGAGUCGAGCGAACAGACGAGGAGCUUGCUCCUCUGACGUUAGCGGCGGACGGGUGAGUAACACCUGGAUAACCUACCUAUAAGACUGGGAUAACUUCGGGAAACCGGAGCUAAUACCGGAUAAUAUAUUGAACCGCAUGGUUCAAUAGUGAAAGACGGUUUUGCUGUCACUUAUAGAUGGAUCCGCGCCGCAUUAGCUAGUUGGUAAGGUAACGGCUUACCAAGGCGACGAUGCGUAGCCGACCUGAGAGGGUGAUCGGCCACACUGGAACUGAGACACGGUCCAGACUCCUACGGGAGGCAGCAGUAGGGAAUCUUCCGCAAUGGGCGAAAGCUUGACGGAGCAACGCCGCGUGAGUGAUGAAGGUCUUCGGAUCGUAAAACUCUGUUAUUAGGGAAGAACAAAUGUGUAAGUAACUAUGCACGUCUUGACGGUACCUAAUCAGAAAGCCACGGCUAACUACGUG
This 497-nucleotide ribosomal RNA is filed under the name uncultured bacterium. Its description in RNAcentral is "partial 16S ribosomal RNA". It matches the Rfam family "Bacterial small subunit ribosomal RNA", at positions 28 to 507 of the family's 1533-position model. The record is from RNAcentral.